This is an RNA transcript of Dicentrarchus labrax (European seabass), 4966 nucleotides long. It is a transcript of the gene named basic leucine zipper and W2 domains 2, with no coding region annotated. Lineage: Eukaryota; Metazoa; Chordata; Actinopteri; Moronidae. The transcript has 14 exons. The record is from RefSeq and is a predicted model, not a curated record.
GAGCCCACUAUAUAUAGAGCAGAGCACAAGGUUGGCAGGCACAACGACAGUCACACAGUCAGCACAGGCCAACUCAUUUACAGGCAGCACAAGGAACUCACUGUUGGACUUGUAUGAAUACCGGUAAGCAGCAGAAGCCAGUGCUCACAGGCCAGAGGUUUAAGACCAGGAAAAGGGAUGAAAAGGAGAAGUUUGAACCAACUGUUUUUCGAGACACGAUUGUUUCGGGCCUCAAUGAAGCAGGCGGUGACCUGGAUGCUGUAGCCAAGUUUCUAGAUGUCACAGGGUCGCGACUGGACUACAGACGCUAUGCUGACACUCUGUUUGACAUCCUCAUUGCAGGGAGCAUGCUUGCUCCUGGGGGGACCCGUAUUGAUGAGGGCGACAAGACCAAGGUGACGGCAUACUGCGUGUUCACGACUGAGGAAAGCCAUGCCGCUUUACGUCUAUAUGCUCAGGUUUUCAACAAGCUCAUCAGGAGAUACAAAUACCUGGAGAAGGCCUUCGAGGAGGAGAUCAAAAAGCUACUGCUCUUCCUGAAGGCCUUCAGUGAGUCGGAGCAGACCAAGCUGGCCAUGCUGACAGGCAUCUUGCUGGCCAACAACGCUCUACCACCUCCCAUCAUCACCAGCCUCUUCACCGACAGUGUGGUCAAAGAAGGGACUUCUGCAUCAUUUGCUGUGAAGAUGUUCAAAGCAUGGAUCGCAGAGAAAGAUGCCAAUUCAGUAACCUCAUCUUUGAGGAAGGCAAACCUAGAUAAAAGACUUCUGGAGCUGUUUCCUGUUAACAAGCAGAAUGUGGAGCAUUUCUCUAAGUACUUCAAUGAAGCUGGGCUCAAGGAGCUGUCUGACUUCCUGCGCAUACAGCAGAGCCUGGGAACCCGCAAAGAGCUGCAGAAGGAACUACAGGAGCGCUUGUCCCAGCAGUGCCCCAUCAGAGAGAUGGUGGUGUAUGUGAAGGAGGAGAUGAAAAGGAACCAUUUGCAGGAGCAGGCUGUGAUUGGGCUGUUGUGGACGUGCCUGAUGAAUGCUGUGGAGUGGAACAAGAAGGAGGAGCUGGUCACAGAGCAGGCACUCAAACACCUCAAACACUAUGCUCCUCUGCUGGCGGUGUUCAGCACUCAGGGUCAGUCUGAGCUGGUGCUGCUCCUGAAGAUCCAGGAGUACUGCUACGACAACAUCCACUUCAUGAAGUCCUUCUCUAAGAUAGUGGUGCUCUUCUACAAAGCUGAUGUACUGAGCGAGGAGGCCAUCUUGAAGUGGUACAAAGAUGCCCAUGGUGCCAAAGGGAAGAGUGUCUUCUUGGAACAGAUGAAGAAGUUUGUUGAAUGGCUCCAGAAUGCUGAAGAAGAGUCGGAGUCAGAGGGGGAGGAGGGCUAGAGGAGGAGCAGUAGGAGUUUCUGUAGUCUGCAUCCUGUAGCCUGAAUGACAGCGUAGCAGCUAGUUAACAUGUAGAGUCCAUCUCCCCACCUGAGGCAGCCAAACACCGUCAGAUAACCAGAGAGUUUCUGAACACUGGACCAGAGGGCCUUAUUGACAUCCAUCCAUCUGAGCACAGACUCCAUCUAUAACAUUGUCCAGGAAAAGUUAGACCUACUGCUGCUGGGCGACCAUCUACUCCAGCGGGGAAUUAUUUUUGUCUUUUUUAUUUCUGGAAUGCAGAUAUUUAUUUAACUGUAGUUUUGAAGGAUUUGUUGUAUUUAUUUGUUUACCAAGAUGGGUUGCGCUGGAUUCACCUGCUCCAAACACUCCCUGUGCGCGCUCAACAUCCUCUAUGUAGUUCCAACAAGCAGAGUACACCUGCUGCAGAAACGACCUGAACCAGGGGCGGAUAUUUACUGGGUGUCCAGAGGAUGGCUUUAAGGGAUGGCAGAAAUAUGUGCUGAUUUAAUCUGAAACAUUCACAUAUAUCAAUAUUUGCUUGGAAACCCCCCCAAAUGAAUAUAUUCAAACUCAAAAACAUUAUUGUGGAACAUUAGUAAAGCAUUGAAUAGAAAUAUAUAAAGGUGGCAUUAGAAAUCAAUAUACUGUUUUAUUUCCACAAACUUUUUUCAUUGAAUUUAAGACUCUCUUUGAGUCUAAACUGGCUCGUGGUGCUCAAAGCACCAAAAAAGAUACAUUUAGAAAGCUCAACACUAAUGUCUAUUUACAGAAUUCAUGACCCGGUAGCCUACCCAAUAUGAGACCUUGCUGUGAGCAGUUAAUAACGAUGUUCUUGUGUUAUGUAUUUUUCAUUUUGGGGUAAACUGUCCCAUUAACAGACAGUUUGAUAUCUUGGCCUCUGCUGCAGUUUUGACCAUUAGUUUUUUAAUCUUUCUACAAACUUUUCUUAAAAGUGUAAAGUUAAAUUGCUCUAGUAGCAUGUUAAAGGUAGAAACCACUCUCUUUAUUUGAAUAACUAUUAGCUUUAACUCAUGUCAAGAAUGUGUUUUUGCACAGGAAGGGGGCUUUCAGGAAUGAAAGGGAUAACUUAGUACGGACACAAGGAAUGAUGAUAGCCAACAAUACCUCUUUUAAUGUGACCUGAUAUAAAGAUUAAUAAUCAUACAAUAGUCCUCUAUACAUGGAUGUGUAUUUUUGUUAUUUAGGGAAAGAAACAUACAUUGCAGUCUGUGUUUAUGAAUCUGAUUGAAUGAUGAUGAUCUGUACUAAAUAAUAACAUAACAUCUGAACAUUUAAAUCAAGCAACUAAGUACUUUACUUAAGUACAUUUUGAGGUACUUUACUUAAAGAUCCCCACCAGACAUGUAUAACGACACAUAUACAAGUAGUCUGCUUGGAACAAUAAUGUGUCUGAUAUGCUUUUUCUACAAAAAAAGUAUAAAUUCCACAUCAAAAUCCUUAAAAAGUGAUCUACUCCUUCUACCUCAUUAAAAUUCCAGAAUCUCUGAAUAUGUAAAUGUUAAUUUCAAACAUUUUCCUGCUGAACACAAGAAGUCUCCUCCUUCACUGUAAAGUCCAUUCUCAGUGGAUGUGCACUGGUGGCUUCAAGUUUCUACAUCACACUGUACAAGUUGAUACUGGACCAGGACUGACUUCCUGCUGGUAGGCCCCGCCCCUUAAAAUCAGAUUUUCAGUGAGCACAGAGAAACUUUCCACUUUCAACAGAUGAAUGUGAAAACAUCCUUCUAGUGUCAAACUCUGCACAUACAUCAUUCAAACAGCGCACUGUAAGGACAAGAAGAAACAUUGAUUUCUGACUGGAGGAGGAUUUCAAAGAUUUUAAUGUUAUGCUAUUUUGUUAUUUAUUAAGAGAUUCUGAAGGACACAUUUUACUUUAAUGCUUUUUAAGUGAGCAGCUGACUGUGUGCUCCUAAAUCAUUCAGACUGUUGGACAAUGUCCACACACACAGCGUUUAAAGACAUCACAAUAAAGCUUAUUUAGAACCUAGGACAGAAUUUAUAGGAGAUUAAGCUAAUCCAGCUGUUUGUCUUCCUGCUGGGGUUUAAUCCUCAUAUUUCAGCAUUUACACCCAUAUGUUCUUCUACAAACUUUCUGGGGGUUCUUUGCAACAUAGAAACCGAAAUUAAUUAAUCAGGCAGAUUAUUUGGCAUUGUGAAAUAAUAGGCAUCGGCAAAUGACUGUACUCACAAGGCUGAUAAACAAAAAAUGUCUUCAGACACAUCUGCAAGCUGUCUUUUUUCACUCCCCCUUUUUAGGAAGGGGGUUUUGAGCCCUGUACUGUAACUUGGUUAUGGAGCCGUGUGGUAAACAUAUGUCUGAAUGUCCUAUAGAAUAGAAUUUUAAUAUUGGCAUUCUAUAUAGUCACUACUAUUAGUGUAGUUGUUGCUACUGUUGUUGCUGUGCAGCUUUGUCUCUGUCUCUCUCUCUGUCUCUCUCUCUGUCUCUCUCUCUCUCUCUCUCUCUCUCUCUCUCUCUCUCUCUCUCUCUCUCUCACACCCCCCCAACUGGUCGAGGCAGACGACCACCCACCUAGAGCCGAGGGGUCUAUCCUAUGUUUCUGCCUCCUUGUCGCCGUCACCAAGUGCUUGCUCAUGGUGGUACUGUUGGGUCUCUGUAAAUAAUGUUAUAAGGAGUUCGGUCUAGACCUGCUCUAUUUGAAAAGUGUCCUGAGAUAACUUCUGUUAUGAAUUGGCGCUAUACAGAUGAAAUUGAAUUGAAUUGAAUAUUGGCCAUUAAAAACCCAUAUUGGUCGACCACUAAUAGAAACUUUCAAAAUAUUCAGGUGACUUGGGAAUGGUGUCACUACUUUUCUCAUUUAUACCUUUCACACUUUCUGAAACAUUCCAGGUUUUCCUGGGGGAAAAAUCCUCAUUUAAAGCUGCAGUAGGUACAUUUUCAUAAAAAUAACUUGUUGUCAUGUUUGCUGAAACUUUUACUAUACCCUGACAGUAGUACAGGAGACAAACUGAAUGGCAUUUGCUAGGAUCCACCGGGCCUGAAUGAAAACAACCAAACAGAAGUGAGAAAGAUAGCUGAUUGUUGAGUUUCAUAUCAGGGCAUCAUAUAUUUUAGUACCCUGGGAAUGAGACUCAACAAUCAACUAUCUUCAAGCUUCUAACCCAAAGCAUCUUCCUUGGCUCUGAUUGGUUGUUUUCGAUCAUGCCCUGUGAAUUCUUGCAAAUGCCAUUAGGAGCACUAGGAGGAGCCAGAGGAACCUGAUUUUUUCACAGACUAUCUGUCUUGUGUACUACUUUCACAACACAGUGAAAAUUUUAGGAAUAAUGACAAAAAGUUAUUUUUAUAAAAGUUACCUACUGCAGCUUUAAAAUAAUGGACGGAAUGUCCAUAAUUCUCACAUUUUUACAGUUUCCAACCCCAUUUUUUUAAUUCAUAACUACUCAUUCAUCUUUCCAUUAGAAACAACAUUGAAACUCUCAAAUGUUCCACAUCUUUCAGAUAUUGUAUAUAAAUAUUAUUCAACUUUCAAAUACCAUUCAACAUUUUAAAAUAUUCAACUUUAUUGAAGUUUAUAGAAGACAAUUAGAAAGACCUUCAAAUCCAC